RNAcentral lists this long non-coding RNA (1170 nucleotides) under Brachypodium distachyon (stiff brome). RNAcentral describes it as "long non-coding RNA (BDIS_LNC004229)". The record is from RNAcentral. Lineage: Eukaryota; Viridiplantae; Streptophyta; Magnoliopsida; Poales; Poaceae.
UUGGGGUCAAAAAUCAUAAUAGUAGCAUCAGUACUCUGCGUUCAAAUUUCAGAUCCAUGUUCCACAUCCAUGCAAAGCAGUUUUUAAUUACGGUGGAGGUGUGUAGAUGUGCCUAGAUUUGAUCCAUGAUUCAGCUUUGACCCAUGAGGGACAGGCCCUAAUGAUUACGGCUUCAUAUAUGUAAGUGGAGCUGGUGGUCAAGGAGGUGUUUAUUCACAAUGAGCGACGGGUGACGGCGUAAUCUACGUUUGCAGGCUCCUUAAUCCGCUUAUUGUCCGGUUGAAAUAAUCCCGUUGUGUUUUUUUUUUUUACUUUUCGGAUCUUUUUGGUUGUGUGCAUCUUGAUACCAACAUCUCAGUUCAAUUUUGCGUAAAAAAUAAAACAUCUCAGUUCAAUAAAUCUUCCAUUAUUGAAAAGCUAAUGCAAGCAUAUCUUUCAUCCUCUCGACUAUAUAAAAUUCACUUGACAACAAGGUGUGUGAUUCAGGUAAGGUAAUAAUAAUGUUGCUAGGCAUGCAGCGUUUUUUUUCCCCAAAAAGAAGGCUCCCGGCAUAUGCAAUAUUCUCUCGGAUGAACAUAGCCAUAUUUUUAUUAGAAAGAUGCUACACAUCAAUGAUGAACACAUCAGCAUACAAAAAUAAAAAUAAAAAUUCAGAGAUCCAUCUUCUUAGAUUAACCCUCAUCAUCUUCUCCACCACCCCAACCACAAAACAAAUUGUCGGGGACCAAAUCCACUAGCACAAACAUGGGAUCAACGCAAAGCGCCGUACUCUGAGACUGUUAAUGCCAAUGCCUUCGAUCAAGAAGGGACCGACGUUUGUACAUACACCGUUGUUACCGAGUCUAAUUAACUAAAUAGGUCAAACAUGGGAUUAUCGCAUCCCUGAGAUGAAACUUCAAGCCAGCACCUUUAACAAGGACACUACGCACGUACGUCAAUUUUGCCUCAUCAAACCAAGAUGCGAGAUCAAGGGUUUUCACCCCAGUGAAAUUAAAGUAUGCUUAUAUUAAUUUGUCAUGCAUGCCUCCAUCCACCAUCUCUACCGUUUGGCGCAUGACUAGCGCUAGCUAGCCGGCCAAUCAUGACACAUAGGGCGCCAUCGGUGUUAGAGAAAAUGUUGGAAGUGAGUAAAGUUGCGAUGGGUCGCUGCCUGAUCUGAAGUACUCGGCC